AGGUGUGAGGGUAACUUGGCUGUGUGGCAUCAUAGCCCCACUGAAUCACCAAAGCUGACUAGACUGAUAAGACUAGCUAAACAGGUUUUCCCUUCCUUCUUCACUGCUGUAAGUAUGGCCUUCCUAAGAUGCACUGAAGAGGAUGACCUCCAUGAACAAAUGACUCUCUUCAGCCAAGGGCUGAAGUGUAGCUGUGUUUCUACCACAACAGCCUCAAAAGAAGCUCUCAGUCAUAUAUAAAUAUAUACUACUGGUACUAGACAUAUAGCUCAAUUGGU
This is an unclassified non-coding RNA of 278 nucleotides. Its record names the gene 7SK. It matches the Rfam family "7SK RNA". Rfam says of the family: 7SK was discovered as an abundant small nuclear RNA in the mid-70s but a possible function has only recently been suggested. Two independent studies have found that 7SK RNA binds the CDK9/cyclin T complex (known as elongation factor P-TEFb). The record is from Ensembl.